GUGUAUAGGUACUUUUAUUCUUCCAGCCCCCACAGGGCAGGAAGGCCAGUGCACCAUGCAGGAGGAACAACCAUUCCGCCUCCGAGCCACCUGCCUCCCAAUGCGGACUGGAAGCGCAGUAGCAGGGAAACGCAAGAAUCCUGAGCCACAAAAUUAAGGAAAUAUAGUGAUUAGGGGAAAAAAAAAAUAUCCUGUGUGCGGGACUUGGAGCAUCUAACCUAAGGGGGAAGGAGCAAAGCCUGUCUCUGUGCCAAAGCCCCUGAGCACAGGCAGGCGGGGGACAGGCAGCCCAUUGCAUCUCCCCUGGCAGCCUGUGUUGGCCACUUGGCACAGUGGAGCCAUAGGUCUCCUGCCAGCCUCAGCUGCGCUUCCUCCCUGCACCCCCAUCGCCUGCUAUUCAGCCUCAGUUCGGCCGUGCCCAGCAGUGCCAGCAUCGCUCCCCUUCUCCCCCGUGUUUGGUGGCUCUGGGAGAACAGAGAAAGGCAAGGAGCUGCUUUUGCGUUCACCGGUACACCCCCAAGUGGACAGCAAGGAAAAAGGGGAGAGAAGGCACGGACAAGUUUUGGAUGGCUUGCAGAGGUACAGGCUCAGCUGGCUGGCUCUGGAGGGAUGUGCUCACAAAGCUCUUGGAAGCGUUCCGACGGGUCAGCGCCUGUCAAAGCCAAUACUGCAGUUUCCUGGGGUCUACGAGCCAUGAUGUGUUCAGGAGUCCCUAAGGCUCCAGCUACAGUGGACACGGGGAAGUGAUUCAGCAAAGGAAUAUUCCUCAUUGCCAAAAGAAGAAAUGCAGCCGGGCAGGUUGGUUUCUCAGCUGAGUUCUGCUUGACAAAUUCUGAAGCAAGGGUCUCUCUGAUGCUGGUGUCACUCCCGGGCAGUGCACAGGGGCCAGAGGGAGAUUCAGACGCACCGAUUGUAAUUACAGAGCUGCCAAAGCUUCCAGGAAAAAUAGCAAGCAUCAGUCUGCAUUAAUCUUUGCUGGAUUUCCUGUGACUUUCAGGCAAUUUCAGAGGGACCAGAAAGAAUCCUUCUGUGAGGGAAAUCCAGCUUGCAAAGCCACUGUUUGCUCACAGAAAGCUUCCUCCACUACCUCUCUUUCAAAUACAGGUUCCUCCUACCAUACGUAACCGAAACUUUUUUUCCUCAAGGAGUAACUAGCUCCUGUAGCUCUACUGCCCCCUAAAAUAAUUGCCUCUGGUUAGAAGACCAACAUUAAUGAAGUACUACUUAACAUCUACACAGGGCUUUUCAUCAGUCACUCUCCAAGCAUUUCACAAAAGUGUGUCCUUUCACAGCUGGGGACAAGGAGGCAGUGUGACUGCACAGCUUCUGAGAGGCCAGUCCCUGGGAUGCAGUGUGACAGUCCAGGGCUGCCCACCCAGCCUGGUGGCCUCUCUUCAGGCCACAUUGUGUCUUUCAUGGGCUGCCACAGUGGCCCAUGAGGACGCCAACACUAAAGGAUACAAAUCUUCAAUUUACACAUUGGGGUGCAGAAUGCAAAGGUGAGCACCUCAUGUAGGAAAGGUCUGUAGGAUUCUCAUCACUAAUGAUGCCAUUCUAGAAGUAUUUCUUAUUAGACUGCUGUAGAGCAAGCUGUUCUGUGAGCAGAAUACACCAAGCCUGCCUCCCCGUGGGUUCUUGUCUGCUGUCUCAAAAAUCCCCCGUGCUGUAAUGAAAGCCAGAUUCCUUCAUAUUCCCUGUGACAUCCCCCGUAGGAAGAAGAAAUCCAUGCUGUGGCUAGCCUAGAAACACGUGCUUGUUUCCUAGUGGACCAAAAUGAAAGACAAAAUGCAGUCACCAUUUAGCCUGAUUGGCUGCUGCCAUGCACCACCUACAUAAUUCACGGAUUUUCCCCUAUGGAGGGAGUGGAACAUUACCUAAUCACCAGUUUUUAAGAGACAUCCAGGAAUAAGUUACUUUUUAGCCUUCCGCCCUCUUCUAAAUGUGGUUGAAAUUGGUUGCACUGAAAAGUUAUUGGGAGGAAGAACAUAUGGACAAACAGAUACACAUGUACUAUCAGCUAGGCUUCAUUUACCAAGGAAAUCAAACUAAAAAUAUUAGAGUGGAUUAAAGUCAACUGACUAGUCAAUGAGGAGCAUGCUUCUUUUUUAUGCUUUCCAUUUUAGAUAGUUUGCAUCCUCUGAUGCUGUAUUGGGUCUGCAUGGCAAAGUUUUGAUGGGGAGGCUUCUGUAGGAAGCUGCCAGAAGCUUCCUCUGCAACUGAUAGUGCCAAGGCCAGAUGGCUCCAAGACAAACCCACCUCUGGCCAAGUCCAAGCCCGUCAGGCAGCGGGCUGAUCCCAGUCCAAGUCUCUGGGAUGACAUAUUUAAGAAAGGGGGCAAGCUGUGCAACAGCAACCAGGAGAGAAGGGUGAGAAUAUGUGAGAGAAACAGCCCUUAAUACACCAAGGUCAGGGAAGAAGAAAGGGAAGGAGGUGCUACAGGCACUGGAGCAGAGAUUCCCCUGCAGCCUGUAGUGAAGACCACGGUGAGGCAGGCUGUCCCCCUGCAGCUGAUGGAGGUCCAGGGUAGAUCAGUUAUGCACCUGCAGCUUGCAGAGGACCCCUUGGUGGAGCAGGUGGAUGCCCAAAGGAGGUCAUGACCCCAUGGGAAGCCCACACUGGAGCAAGCUCCUGGCAGGACCUGGAGCCCCAUGGAGAGAGGAGCCCACACUGGAGUAGGUUUGCUGGCAGGACUUAUCCCGUAGGGGACCCAGACUGGAGCAGGCUGUUCCUGAAGGACUGCACCCCAUGGAAGGGACCUGCACUGAAACAGCUCAUGAGGAACUGCAGCCUGUGGGAUGGACUCACGUUGGAGAAAUUCGUGGAGGACUGUCUCCCAUUGGAGGGACUCCACACUGGAGAAGGAGAAGAAUGUGAAGAGUCCUCCCUCUGAAGAGGAAGGAGUGGCAGAGACAAUGUGUGGUGAACUAACUGCAACCCCCAUUCCCUGCCCUCCUGCACCACUGCAAGGGAAGAGGGAUCAAAAAUCAGGAGUGAAGUUAAACCCAUGAGGAAGGGAGGGGUCAGGGAAAUAUGUUUCAAGAUUUGGGUUUCCUUCUUACAAUCCUGAUUUGUUUUGAUUGGUAACAAAUCAAAUGAAUUUCCCCCAA
Molecule: long non-coding RNA, 3107 nt
Organism: Pseudopipra pipra
Lineage: Eukaryota; Metazoa; Chordata; Aves; Passeriformes; Pipridae
Exons: 2
Source: RefSeq, a predicted model, not a curated record